This 405-nucleotide ribosomal RNA is filed under the name uncultured bacterium. Its description in RNAcentral is "partial 16S ribosomal RNA". It matches the Rfam family "Bacterial small subunit ribosomal RNA", at positions 28 to 526 of the family's 1533-position model. The record is from RNAcentral.
GACGAACGCUGGCGGCGUGCUUAACACAUGCAAGUCGAGCGGAGCGGCGAACGGGUGAGUAACGCGUGAGUAACUGCCCCCCUCUCUGGGAUAACAGUUGGAAACGGCUGCUAAUACCGGAUAGUGGGGGAUGACUCGCGUCCUAUCAGUUUGUUGGUGGGGUAGUGGCCUACCAAGGCGACGACGGGUAGCCGGCCUGGGAGGGCGACCGGCCCCAAUGGGCUAAGGUAGGGCCCAGUCGCCAACAGGAGGCAACGGUGGGAAGUAUUGCACAGUGGGGGAGACCCUGAUGCAGCAGCGCCGGGUGCGGGAAGACGGCCUUCUGGUUGUAAACCGCGUUCAGCCAUGACGCGGUAGUGGCAGAAGAAGCACCGGCUAACUACGUGCCAGCAGCCGCGGUAAUUC